This 540-nucleotide long non-coding RNA is filed under the name Lynx pardinus (Iberian lynx). Lineage: Eukaryota; Metazoa; Chordata; Mammalia; Carnivora; Felidae. The record is from RNAcentral.
UUCCUUAAGUGAAGCACUUCCAUCUCUUUGUCGGUGGUGUUAACUCCGGCAGUCUAGAAGAGACAACGGAAGCAAAAUGGACAAGCACAGGACAUGAGACCUCUGAGAGACACACAGGAAGGGAGGGAGGAAGAGAAGGGGGGAAAAACCGGAGGAAGAAAUGCUCCCCAGCGUCUCCUUUGCAACAAGGAACAAACAAAAACCACCAGGCAGCGAGACCUGUUAGAGGAAGACAGUGAAACCCUGAGGGAGGGACUCCGCAGACCUGAGACGACGCUGGCUGGUUACAACCCUUCACCAGACGCUGGCAGCCCCUGGCCCAUCCAAGCAUGCGGGCGGGCAGUGGGCAGCAUGGAGAAAUGGGGCCCGGCGGCGGGGGGGUGCUGUUUGGUUUCUGGUAAAGAAAGUCAGAGGGCACACACAGGAGGGAUGGAAGGGUGCUGCAAUCACACGUACACACACACGUACAUGCACACACGCACGCGCACACACACACACACACACACACACACAUGCGUGCACGUGGCCUGCCAGUUUGCA